CCGAGUUAUACAACUCCUCAACCCUGUGAACAUACCUAACUUGUUGCCUCGGCGGAAUCAGCCCGGCCCCGUAAAACGGGACGCCCCGCCAGAGGACCCCUAACUCUGUUUCUAUAAUGUACUUCUGAGUAAACCAGAAAUAAAUCA
This 147-nucleotide unclassified non-coding RNA is filed under the name soil metagenome. RNAcentral's name for it is "partial internal transcribed spacer 1". The record is from RNAcentral.